GUCCAAACAAUUGAGACUAUGAUUACGACAUCCCUUUUCAUAGUUCUUAAAAUUGUUUACACACACCUGUAAGCUAUCUAAGAUAAGGUGUAUGAUAUUGAUAAAGUUUUAUCAAAGCAAUGUAGUAUCAGAAAUCUGAACUUUGGUAAGAAAGUCAAUAAGUUAUUGAUUUCUAGAAGUCCAGCUGAUUUCUGAGUACAUGUCAAAGCUAGUGGGAGCAUAAGUGUUAUGUGAAUAAUCAUCAUGUUAGUGGGAGCAUGAUAAUUAUGAUAAAGGUUGCAAGUUAGCAAUGUUAAUUAUAGAAAACAGAAGGUUUCAAUUGGGAAAAAGUUGUUUUGCUAUAAUUAAGGGAGAGGAAAUUAUACUUCAUCUCAAAUCUAAAAGCUUAGAUUGAGGUUUUAAUCGUAUUUAGUCAAGGAUAUAUAUAUGAAUUUCAUGUUGGAAUGGCUCAACAUAAGGAAAUUCUGUAUAUGGGUCCAUUAUUUGCG
This 488-nucleotide long non-coding RNA is filed under the name Lactuca sativa (garden lettuce). Its description in RNAcentral is "long non-coding RNA (LSAT_LNC004302)". The record is from RNAcentral. Lineage: Eukaryota; Viridiplantae; Streptophyta; Magnoliopsida; Asterales; Asteraceae.